This is a long non-coding RNA of Oxyura jamaicensis (ruddy duck), 5457 nucleotides long. RefSeq lists it as uncharacterized. The record is from RefSeq and is a predicted model, not a curated record. The transcript has 2 exons. Lineage: Eukaryota; Metazoa; Chordata; Aves; Anseriformes; Anatidae.
GUGGUGGGACCAGGGGCUGGCUCCUGGGCUUGGAGAUGGAUGCGGCUCAUCCACAAGCAGCUGCACUGCUGUUGCUUUAUGCAGCUGGUUAAGAAGGAACUACACAAGGAUGGAGGAGUCUGACUCAGUCGUGUUAAGUUGCUUGGGGCCUUACAAACAGUCUGACUAUAUGUGUAGCUGCUUGUCCUGGGCUCUGGUUACCGAAAUCAAGAAGAGAUCAUUGGUAUUGUGUUCCCAAGAUAUAAGGCGUCCCAUCCUGGGACCAUCCACACAGCACCAGGUGGAGGGGAGAGCUCAUCCUGCUCUAUGGCACCCACAGCUGGCCCCACGCUGCAGUUCAACAUUAAAUGUGUGUGUUUGACUAUCAAUGUCCAAAUAACAUUUUUUAUAACAAUAUCCUGAUGCAAUCAGCUACACAGGCAGAGUUACUUGAUACACACUCUAGACCAAAGGUUUGUGCAGCUCAGCUGCACAAUUAAACCCAAAUUGCCCUUGAAUAAAAUCCCCCACAUCAUCAUUGGGGAAUUUUCCUAGUGCAUCUUGAGCAUUUGUACUUCUGGGGGAUGAUGGCUGUGGAGCACCAGAAAUCCCCACAGACCCAUCGCAGUGCUGACACAGCGGCUGUUGGGAAAAAGUGGCCAAGCCCUGGCUGUGUGGGACUUCAAGGCUGGAGCUGGCUUCUUGCUGCAGAGCUGCCAGGACGUGAUGGGACAGGCAGUGUUUGUCCUCCCGGCCAGGAGCUGUGUGCCACAUUUGAAUGAGGAGGUUGCUGCCCAUGGUUUGCAUGUGUGCAGAGCCCUGCCCUGCACCUACAUUUGUUAUUCUGAGACCAGCAGCCUGUCUGUCUGUUCAGUGCUGGGAGCAGCUACCCAGGGCUGGAAAACACAGCAGGUCAUGGACACGCUCUCCAAACCUCUGUCCACACCCAAAUGUGCUGUGCUCCCCGUGCCGGGCAGGGUGGUGGGGCAUGGGGAGACGAGGCGGCUGUGCUGCAAGUGUGGGUUGCUUCGGAGAAUUCGGUGGCCAUGGAGGAAGCGGUGUGACGCGCCCUCUCUGUUAAGCCUCACCGCAGCCUCACCGCCACAGCUAUUUCUGUGCUGAGGGGAGGUUUUCCAGUAAAAUGUGCGCUGGUGUCAAGAGUGGUGCGAUGACAGCCAGAGAGGAGCUGGGGGGGGCUUCCUGCUUCACCCUGCAGUGGGAUGGGACAUCCCUCGGCCAUGGGGCAGCACUGGGGAUAAGUGCAACAAGGCUGCUGGCAGGGGCGGCCCAGAGAUCUGCUGGGUCCCUCAUGUGUGGGGAAGGGCUGGGGGUGUGGGCAGGCAGGCCGAGAUGGCUGCGAGGCUGCUGGGGCCAUGUAUUGCAGCAGGAGGUGCCUGCACCCUGCCAGGUGGGGCCAAGCAGCUUCGCCAGGGCUGUUGGUGAAAGAGGCUUUGUGUACGGCUGGGAGCUGAUACGAUCUUAAGGCUCAAAGCUGGCAUGGCAUAAACAAGAGAUGAUUUUAAAUUAAAAAUAAGGCAACCCUUAAUAAAGAGCUCUCCCCAGCAAGCAAAUACUUCUGUGGACUCCACAGUGGCACUGGUGAAGGGGGCUCUGGUGAGCAUCCCUAGCGGCCAAGGCAGGAGAGCAGCGGGCCCACUCCAGCUCCCCAUGUCUGGCAGCACCUGAGGGCUGUGGCCCCAGCAGACCUGUGACUACUCCUUGGGGACAUUCCUCAGCCCUAUGGUUUCCUGGUGUCCCUAUCCCAAGUAAAAUCAGAGCAGGCUGACCCAGAGAGCUGGCUCCUGAUGGUGACAGCAAGCAGUCGGCAGCCCUGCCUUUGGGUCUUCACAUGCUGUGCUUCAUGGCUGCGCUGUCUGUGCCAUGUUGUUGGGCAGCCAGGCCUUGGGCCUUCCUGGGCCUGGGGCUGCUCCUGCUGGCAGUGCUGGUUCUCCAGCAGCCUUCACUGGGCAUUGUCCUCGUGCACUGGAAGCAAGUGUUGCGGGAGGAGGCAAUGCCGAGGUGCAGGGCUGGGUGCCACCCCCCUGCAUGCAGGCAUGUGCGCUUGCCUCAGGAGAAGGUUCAUCUAUUUGCCUCUGAGAGUGGCAUAUGCACUCGUUCCUGGAAGAGAAAGACAUCAGUGUUUUUAAGGAAGUAAGCAAAUGCUAAAGAAUAUCUUUUCAGAGUGGCCACCUCCCGCUUUCUUGAAUUCCUCAGGGACAAUGAGCGCUUUGUAACCUUGCGGUGCUCUCAGCAGCCAAAACAACUUCUGUGUGAUCUCAGCGGCUGUAAAUCAACGAGCUCCAUCGGGUGCUAUUGCUAGGGUAAAUUCAGUGCUGAUUGCUUUGAUCUGCAAUGCUUUUUAUUUUUUACCCUCUACAGAGAUACACACAAGGUCAGGCUAAUGGCUGAGACAUGAAAAACACAUGUGGCCUUUAUUGAUCCUGCCAUGAUUAACGGCCCAGAGGGAAGGCUGGUGAUUCAUGCCCGCUUGUGAGUGCCCGUGAGUGCGAGCUGUGGGCCUGGGCACCCGAGCUGCUUCCUGCUGCUUCGGGGCCUGCAGACACGGUUCUCACGGAUGUCCUUGCACUGGGCAAAUAGAAAUUUGUAUGCAGUACACUUGCAAACUGGCGUCUAUUUCUGUUUGUCAUUUACUUUCUCUGUCCAUUUUGGAAAUAGAUCAAAACCAAGCCAACCUGAAACCUUAUUUCAGUCAUGUUGACAAAGCUUCUUUCCUUUCCUGAUAGCGCGGGUGGGCCAAGAAGAGAGUCCUUGAGAAGGCCAUAACACAGAGCCUCCCCGGCCUGAUUUUAGGCGAUGUUGUGGCAGUCCCAGCAGGAUGAAUCCCCCGCUGCUGCUCCUGUGGGCUGGGCAAGGCCCAAGGCUCUGCAGAGUCCAGCCUUUUGGGUACCAGCAUGUGAGCUCUCAAUAAAGCAGCUUGCUGCAGCUGCUUGCUGCGAUUAGCCUCGCAGGCUAUGGAUUUUGGAAAGCAUUUCCACCCCACUGAGCAUCCGUGGCUUGCUGGUGGCAGGCCCCGGGGGCUGCUCCAGAUGCGCUGCCCCAGCCCACCCCAAUGGCAGGGACCCCAGCCACAGGGCUCGCUGCGUGCCCAGGGCACAGCUGUCAACCCGCACAUGGGGAAGUCAUCCUAAUGUUGGAAGGGGAAAUCAGGCCCUGCUGGGAGGAUCUGGACAGUGGUUAUGUAACUUUCCCAUUUGACACUUGAGAACACUUCCCCCCGGCCGCCUGCCUGAGCCAUGUGACUGACGAAAGGCAUCACGCUGCCACCAAGGCCCUCGCGGUGCUCCCCAGCAUCCCAGCCACUGCUGCCCAUGCCUGCCCCAAGCCUGGUGCCCACUGCAGCACUCAUUGCCUGCUCACUUGCUUCUGCUUUUAUCCUGUCUUGCAGGUGCUGUGGAGUAUUUCCAAUGCCCCUUACUAAGAGCAAAGACAUGGUUUAUCUUGGGCAGUGCCAUUGAGGGGACAAAGCUUUGCUGCCAGAACGAUUGCAGGAGCCAUGCCCCCCAUAUCCCCAGCUGAUUGCACCCCUUGUGAGAGCCUGGAAGCCAGCCCCAUGUGCUGAGCAGUCAACAGACACCAGAAGAUAGCACCUCAGCACCACCUGAAGGUCAAGGCACAAGGGUGGGCUCCACAAACCCAAAGUGGGCACGUCCCCAUGCAGGGAUGGGCACAGCUGAUGAGUGCAGGACGGUAACCACCUUCCUACCCACGGGGACGCUCCCCGAAGCCCUGCACUUUGCGACUCUUCUCCCACCACAGGACUCCUGCAGCUUGCCUAUGAAGAACCCAGCUCCACGCUUGGAUUAUCUUUGUUUUCUAGCAGUAGAUUUAACUCUAUGUGAUCCUUGCAAAGCACUUGCACUUUCUUUAAUCUUCCCCACAUGAAGGAUUACUUCUGCUUAAUAAGCACGAUGGCCUGGCUGGACCCUCCAAUCACCAGGGCACGCACCCUCCUAGAGCAGGGCUUUCACGUGCAGCAGCCAGCACCAUCUGCCCAUGCUGUUCCCACAGCACAGCCAGAACUCAGAGGCAGUGAGGUACCACACUGGACUUAGCCUCAACACCUGAUCCCCUGCUGCUUGUGUAAAAUGCUUCCAUUCCACCAUGAUGAGUUUCUUAAGUACUGUUGAGUUUGUUUUCUUUGAAACACAGUUCUGCACAGGAUGUGUUUUUAGCCUGAAUUUCAUUUCCAGUUUCUAAGUCCUUUCCUCCCACUCCUUUCAUCCAAUCUCAGAAAAGCUGACUACCGCACCAAUUCAAGGCAGUCCCUCCCCGAGGAGAAAGAGCCGAUGUGUUUCCUCCUCCCUGCAGCCCCACGCACACAAAGCGAAGUGACUACACCAACGUUCACAUAACGUGCCCCUUGGAGCAGACUGCGCCCCAGCUCCCAGGGUGACUGUUUUCUGCCAUGCGCCCUGUUUUAACAGUUGUAGCCAUACUGCCUGCCAGAGGAGCAGGGAUGGAAAAAAAUGGAAGAACGAAGGCACUGCCAUGGACAAAGUUACAGGAAUUUGCCAGAAGACACAGCAUUAUUGUAUAAAUCAUUAGCUACCUCAGGAAUGGAUCUGAUGGGAGAAACUGGAAAAGAAAGUAACACUGCUGUUCUAAGGCAUGCUGCAACAUAGACUCAGUCUGCACAUUUCUGAACAUCCCCUUGCAUCCCACUCCUGAGAUCUCUAUGAAAAUGCUCCAGUGGAUUUCCUGGCUAAGGGACGUGUAGGAUUACCUUUACUCCAACUUGCCAGUGACAUGAAGGUGUUUGCAUGCCUGUGCAGCCAUUUUUCCACUUUAAUAUUCUGCCUGAGCAGUUGAUAGAACACUACUGCUCGCUUAUAGUCUGGAAUUCAAUUGUCUUUUGAACAGAUAUGGUUAUUGGCACUGUGAUACAUGCACCCUUUCACAGACAUACCACCACUACGCAGGAUUUUAAGUACAGGCUGUGCACAUUGAACAGAAGCACCCUCAGAGUCCCCUGGCUGUGCUCUCCAUCCCCAGCAGCAGCACUUCUCACAUAGAGUAUGAGCUCAGGCUUCCCUGAGCUCCUCGUACCUUGUAUGAGGCAAGCAGGGCUGCCUCUGUAGCACAGCUAGCUGCUUUUACAGUGGCAGCUGUUUGUUUUUCACUGUACAAAGCAUCAAAGGACAACAGUCAUUUCUGCUGGCCAUGUUUUUAUUUGUCUUUCGUUUUAAACAGGGGAGCCAAUGAUACAUCCAGUAUUUCAAAAAAUCAGAAGGUAAAACAAAUUUUCAGAAGACCGAGAUGCUACAUGCUAUAUUUAACCUAAUUUUAUUCAUGCUUGCUUUUGAGGGGCAGCGGGAAGGGGGCAGGAAUCAUUCAGUAAAAACAUACAGUAAAAACAAAAUGUCUCACCAUAUAGAACUUUAACCUACAGUAAUGUUGUACCUUAAUUAUUUCCAUGCACACAACUAACAUUACAAAAUUUGUUUAAAAUGAACACAA